RNAcentral lists this ribosomal RNA (620 nucleotides) under uncultured Alphaproteobacteria bacterium. RNAcentral describes it as "bacterial SSU rRNA". It matches the Rfam family "Bacterial small subunit ribosomal RNA", at positions 76 to 737 of the family's 1533-position model. Lineage: Bacteria; Pseudomonadati; Pseudomonadota; Alphaproteobacteria. The record is from RNAcentral.
CCCUUCGGGGUCAGUGGCAGACGGGUGAGUAACGCGUGGGAACGUGCCCUUCAGUUCGGAAUAACCCAGGGAAACUUGGGCUAAUACCGGAUACGUGCGAGAGCAGAAAGAUUUAUCGCUGAAGGAUCGGCCCGCGUCUGAUUAGCUAGUUGGUAGGGUAAUGGCCUACCAAGGCGACGAUCAGUAGCUGGUCUGAGAGGAUGAUCAGCCACAUUGGGACUGAGACACGGCCCAAACUCCUACGGGAGGCAGCAGUGGGGAAUAUUGGACAAUGGGCGCAAGCCUGAUCCAGCCAUGCCGCGUGAGUGAUGAAGGCCUUAGGGUUGUAAAGCUCUUUCGUCCGGGACGAUAAUGACGGUACCGGAAGAAGAAGCCCCGGCUAACUUCGUGCCAGCAGCCGCGGUAAUACGAAGGGGGCUAGCGUUGUUCGGAAUCACUGGGCGUAAAGGGCGCGUAGGCGGCUUUGUAAGUCGGGGGUGAAAGCCUGUGGCUCAACCACAGAAUUGCCUUCAAUACUGCAUGGCUUGAGACCGGAAGAGGUAAGUGGAACUGCGAGUGUAGAGGUGAAAUUCGUAGAUAUUCGCAAGAACACCAGUGGCGAAGGCGGCUUACUGGUCCGG